GGUGAGUUUUCCCGGAGAUUUCAGUUGUGCAGUGGCAGGCCUGAUCUUCCUGGAGUACACAGACAGCGCCCAUUGGUCGGCCGAGCUGCUCGUUAUCACGUACGGGGGCGGGCUCAAGAGUUACCUGCAGCCAGGAUUUGACGAGAGUGGAAGACAUCGCUGGAGAGAAGGAAGAAAAUAAAAGAUAAGGAGCAGUACUACCCGCUGGAGGAUGUGAGCUGGUGGAGCGACGUGGUGCUGAUUCUGGCUCGCUGCUCCGGCUCAGUCACCGUGUCCUCAGUCAGGACGCUGCGCAACCUCCUGGGGAAAUCCUCGAGUCACGGCGGCACACGAAGUGGGCUUCCUCAGCCUGGAGGUACGUGUUCAGA
This is a long non-coding RNA of Gymnodraco acuticeps, 368 nucleotides long. RefSeq lists it as uncharacterized. The record is from RefSeq and is a predicted model, not a curated record. The transcript has 3 exons. Lineage: Eukaryota; Metazoa; Chordata; Actinopteri; Perciformes; Bathydraconidae.